AUGCUUGCUUUGACAGCACAUAUACUAAAAUUGGAAUGAUACAGGGAAGAUUAGCAUUACCCUGCACAAGAAUGAAAAGUAGGGUUUUAAAUUUUCAUAAAGUUCA
RNAcentral lists this small nuclear RNA (106 nucleotides) under Saimiri boliviensis boliviensis (Bolivian squirrel monkey). The record is from RNAcentral. Lineage: Eukaryota; Metazoa; Chordata; Mammalia; Primates; Cebidae.